This 540-nucleotide ribosomal RNA is filed under the name Trichoderma harzianum. RNAcentral describes it as "eukaryotic LSU rRNA". The stretch from base 169 to 322 matches the Rfam family "5.8S ribosomal RNA". Lineage: Eukaryota; Fungi; Ascomycota; Sordariomycetes; Hypocreales; Hypocreaceae. The record is from RNAcentral.
UUACCAAACUGUUGCCUCGGCGGGAUCUCUGCCCCGGGUGCGUCGCAGCCCCGGACCAAGGCGCCCGCCGGAGGACCAACCUAAAACUCUUUUUGUAUACCCCCUCGCGGGUUUUUUAUAAUCUGAGCCUUCUCGGCGCCUCUCGUAGGCGUUUCGAAAAUGAAUCAAAACUUUCAACAACGGAUCUCUUGGUUCUGGCAUCGAUGAAGAACGCAGCGAAAUGCGAUAAGUAAUGUGAAUUGCAGAAUUCAGUGAAUCAUCGAAUCUUUGAACGCACAUUGCGCCCGCCAGUAUUCUGGCGGGCAUGCCUGUCCGAGCGUCAUUUCAACCCUCGAACCCCUCCGGGGGGUCGGCGUUGGGGAUCGGCCCUCCCUUAGCGGGUGGCCGUCUCCGAAAUACAGUGGCGGUCUCGCCGCAGCCUCUCCUGCGCAGUAGUUUGCACACUCGCAUCGGGAGCGCGGCGCGUCCACAGCCGUUAAACACCCAACUUCUGAAAUGUUGACCUCGGAUCAGGUAGGAAUACCCGCUGAACUUAAGCAU